This 43-nucleotide small RNA is filed under the name Sinorhizobium meliloti 2011. Its description in RNAcentral is "putative ncRNA". Lineage: Bacteria; Pseudomonadati; Pseudomonadota; Alphaproteobacteria; Hyphomicrobiales; Rhizobiaceae. The record is from RNAcentral.
GACCGGUCCGGCAAAGACCUUGCCGUAGCCGAGCUUUUUGGCA